ACGAACGCUGGCGGCGUGCCUAACACAUGCAAGUCGAACGGAGCCGCAAGGCUCAGUGGCGAACGGGUGCGUAACACGUGAGGAACAUGGCAAUCGGCGGGGGAUAGCCGGCCCAACGGCCGGGUAAUACCGCGUACGACCUUCGGGUGGCAUCAUCUGGAGGUGAAAGCAGCAAUGCGCCGAUUGGGUGCCUCGCGGCCUAUCAGCUAGUUGGUGAGGUAACGGCUCACCAAGGCUACGACGGGUAGCUGGUCCGAGAGGAUGACCAGCCACAUUGGGACUGAGACACGGCCCAGACUCCUACGGGAGGCAGCAGUGGGGAAUAUUGCGCAAUGGGCGAAAGCCUGACGCAGCGACGCCGCGUGUGGGAUGAAGGUCUUCGGAUUGUAAACCACUGUCGGGAGGGACGAAGCUCUGACGGUACCUCCAAAGGAAGCACCGGCUAACUCUGU
Molecule: ribosomal RNA, 452 nt
Filed under: uncultured bacterium
Lineage: Bacteria
Description: bacterial SSU rRNA
Rfam family: Bacterial small subunit ribosomal RNA
Source: RNAcentral